GACGAACGCUGGCGGCGUGCCUAAUACAUGCAAGUAGAACGCACAGUUUAUACCGUAGCUUGCUACACCAUAGACUGUGAGUUGCGAACGGGUGAGUAACGCGUAGGUAACCUGCCUGGUAGCGGGGGAUAACUAUUGGAAACGAUAGCUAAUACCGCAUAAUAUUGAUUAUUGCAUGAUAAUUGAUUGAAAGAUGCUAUUGCAUCACUACCAGAUGGACCUGCGUUGUAUUAGCUAGUAGGUGAGGUAACGGCUCACCUAGGCGACGAUACAUAGCCGAACUGAGAGGGUGAUCGGCCACACUGGGACUGAGACACGGCCCAGACUCCUACGGGAGGCAGCAGUAGGGAAUCUUCGGCAAUGGACGAAAGUCUGAACGAGCAACGCCGCGUGAGUGAAGAAGGUUUUCGGAUCGUAAAGCUCUGUUGUAAGAGAAGAACGGGUGUGAGAGUGGAAAGUUCACACUGUGACGGUAUCUUACCAGAAAGGGACGGCUAACUACGUG
This 505-nucleotide ribosomal RNA is filed under the name uncultured bacterium. RNAcentral's name for it is "partial 16S ribosomal RNA". It matches the Rfam family "Bacterial small subunit ribosomal RNA", at positions 28 to 507 of the family's 1533-position model. The record is from RNAcentral.